UGGGGAAUAUUGCACAAUGGACGGAAGUUUGAUGCAGCGACGCCGCGUGGAGGGUGUAGGCCUUCGGGUUGUGAACUCCUUUUUCUCGCGAAAAAGGCACAGUUUUGGCUGUGUUGAUGGUAGUGGGGGAAGAAGCGCCGGCUAACUACGUGCCAGCAGCCGCGGUAAUACGUAGGGCGCGAGCGUUGUCCGGAUUUAUUGGGCGUAAAGAGCUCGUAGGUGGUUCGCCGCGUCUGUCGUGAAAGCCAGCAGCUUAACUGUUGGUCUGCGGUGGGUACGGGCGGGCUUGAGUGCGGUAGGGGUGACUGGAAUUCCUGGUGUAGCGGUGGAAUGCGCAGAUAUCAGGAGGAACACCGAUGGCGAAGGCAGGUCACUGGGCCGUUAUUGACACUGAGGAGCGAAAGCGUGGGGAGCGAACAGG
This 421-nucleotide ribosomal RNA is filed under the name Fusobacteriota bacterium. Its description in RNAcentral is "Fusobacteria bacterium partial 16S ribosomal RNA". It matches the Rfam family "Bacterial small subunit ribosomal RNA", at positions 355 to 776 of the family's 1533-position model. The record is from RNAcentral. Lineage: Bacteria; Fusobacteriati; Fusobacteriota.